GACGAACGCUGGCGGCGUGCUUAACACAUGCAAGUCGAACGGAAAGGCCCCAGCUUGCUGGGGUACUCGAGUGGCGAACGGGUGAGUAACACGCGGGUGAUCUGCCCUGCACUCUGGGAUAAGCCUGGGAAACUGGGUCUAAUACCGGAUAGGACCGUGCUAUAGUGUGUGCGGUGGAAAGUUUUUCGGUGCAGGAUGAGCCCGCGGCCUAUCAGCUUGUUGGUGGGGUAAUGGCCUACCAAGGCGGCGACGGGUAGCCGGCCUGAGAGGGUGUACGGCCACAUUGGGACUGAGACACGGCCCAGACUCCUACGGGAGGCAGCAGUGGGGAAUAUUGCACAAUGGGCGCAAGCCGGAUGCAGCGACGCCGCGUGGGGGAUGACGGCCUUCGGGUUGUAAACCCCUUUCGGCAGGGACGAAGCUUUUGUGACGGUACCAGCAUAAGAAGCACCGGCUAACUACGU
This 464-nucleotide ribosomal RNA is filed under the name uncultured bacterium. RNAcentral describes it as "partial 16S ribosomal RNA". It matches the Rfam family "Bacterial small subunit ribosomal RNA", at positions 28 to 506 of the family's 1533-position model. The record is from RNAcentral.